CAUCUGACACAUCUGGACCUGAGCUACAACGAACUGUCUGAUUCAUCAGUGAAGCUGCUGUCUGCUGGACUGGAGAGUCCAGACUGGGGACUGGAGACUCUGAGGUUCACUGAUUCUAAAGGUUCAUUUGUCACACUGACUGGAAACCAGAAGAAGAGAGUUUGUGUGGAGGAAGAGCAGAAAUCAGAGUCUCCAGUAUCCACCUGUGUGUCUGAACAUCAUCCUCCAGACGUCACUCAUGAAGCUGGAUCCUCAGACUUAAAGGUGGAGGACAGACAGGACAGCGCUACACCUGCCACACAUGAAGGACGUGA
Molecule: long non-coding RNA, 314 nt
Organism: Scomber japonicus (chub mackerel)
Lineage: Eukaryota; Metazoa; Chordata; Actinopteri; Scombriformes; Scombridae
Exons: 3
Source: RefSeq, a predicted model, not a curated record